GGGUCAGUAGGUUGGUCGUGCCACCGGUACGUACUGGUCUCACUGAUUCCUCCCUCCUGAAGAACCGUAAUGCCAUUAAUUUUGUGUUGCGGGGAAACAGGACUGUUACUUUGAAAAAAUUAGAGUGUUUAAAGCAAGCUAACGCUUGAAUACAUUAGCAUGGAAUAAUGAAAUAGGACGAUCGAUCCUAUUUUGUUGGUUUCUAGGAUUGACGUA
RNAcentral lists this ribosomal RNA (216 nucleotides) under Glomeromycotina sp. RNAcentral's name for it is "partial small subunit ribosomal RNA". The stretch from base 87 to 216 matches the Rfam family "Eukaryotic small subunit ribosomal RNA", at positions 733 to 864 of the family's 1831-position model. Lineage: Eukaryota; Fungi; Glomeromycota. The record is from RNAcentral.